Molecule: ribosomal RNA, 414 nt
Filed under: uncultured microorganism
Description: bacterial SSU rRNA
Rfam family: Archaeal small subunit ribosomal RNA
Source: RNAcentral
CAGCCGCCGCGGUAAUACCGGCGGCCCGAGUGGCGGUCACUAUUAUUUGGCUUAAAGCGUCCGUAGCCGGGUUGGGAAGUCCUCCGGGAAAUCUGGCCGCUUAACGGUCAGAAUGCCGGAGGAUACUCCCAGCCUAGGGAGCGGGAGAGGCCGAGGGUAUUCCCGGAGUAGGGGUGAAAUCCUAUAAUCCCGGGAGGACCACCUGUGGCGAAGGCGCUCGGCUGGAACGCGUCCGACGGUGAGGGACGAAGGCCAGGGGAGCAAACCGGAUUAGAUACCCGGGUAGUCCUGGCUGUAAACGAUGCGGACUUUGUGUCGGACAAGCUAUGAGCUUGUCCGGUGCCGGAGGGAAACCGUUAAGUCCGCCGCCUGGGGAGUACGGCCGCAAGGCUGAAAUUUAAAGGAAUUGGCGGG